GGCCCAUGUUGACUCUACAAGGUGUUGAAAGCGUUCCACAGGGAUGCUGGUCCAUGUUGACUCUACAAGGUGUCGAAAGCGUUCCACAGGGAUGCUGGCCCAUGUUGACUCUACAAGGUGUAGAAAGCGUUCCACAGGGAUGCUGGCCCAUGUUGACUCUACAAGGUGUAGAAAGCGUUCCACGGGGAUGCUGGCCCAUGUUGACUCUACAAGGUGUCGAAAGCGUUCCACAGGGAUGCUGGCCCAUGUUGACUCUACAAGGUGUCGAAAGCGUUCCACAGGGAUGCUGGCCCAUGUUGACUCUACAAGGUGUUGAAAGUGUUCUACAGGGAUGCUGGCCCAUGUUGACUCUACAAGGUGUUGAAAGCGUUCCACAGGGAUGCUGGCCCAUGUUGACUCUACAAGGUGUUGAAAGCGUUCCACAGGGAUGCUGGCCCAUGUUGACUCUACAAGGUGUUGAAAGCGUUCCACAGGGAUGCUGG
Long non-coding RNA from Oncorhynchus keta (chum salmon), 482 nucleotides. RefSeq lists it as uncharacterized. The record is from RefSeq and is a predicted model, not a curated record. NCBI's taxonomy places the organism in Eukaryota, Metazoa, Chordata, Actinopteri, Salmoniformes, Salmonidae. The transcript is spliced from 5 exons.